RNAcentral lists this long non-coding RNA (389 nucleotides) under Ananas comosus (pineapple). RNAcentral's name for it is "long non-coding RNA (ACOM_LNC011802)". Lineage: Eukaryota; Viridiplantae; Streptophyta; Magnoliopsida; Poales; Bromeliaceae. The record is from RNAcentral.
AAAUGACCAAAAUACCCUUAUAUUUGAUGCUAUGCGAGGAGCAUCAAAUAAAAGUCUAAAAUGCAGUAGUUAUAUUGCUGAUAUAGUAUUUCCAACCAAUCAAAUAGUUUUACUGAAAUACACCUAUCCUAUCAUAUUUUUUAAAAAAAUAUUUUUAUUGUACUUUUCUUUUAAAAAAGAAAUAUAAUUGGCUGAAUAUAUAUAUAUAUAUAUAUAUAUAUAUAUAUAUAUAGAUGAUGUGGUAUAAUUGCCACAUAUCAAAGGACAAAAAAAUUGAGAAGAGAGGAAGAGAGAGGGAGAGAAUGGGAGGAGAGUAAGCAGAGAAGAUGAAUACAAGUGUCGUUCUUCAAAAGCUUAAGCUAUUGAAGCUUUAUAUUUAAGAUUUUUUU